ACGCUCGACACCUACGGGAGACAGCAGUAGGGAAUCUUCCACAAUGGACGCAAGUCUGAUGGAGCAACGCCGCGUGAGUGAAGAAGGUCUUCGGAUCGUAAAACUCUGUUGUUAGAGAAGAACACGAGUGAGAGUAACUGUUCAUUCGAUGACGGUAUCUAACCAGCAAGUCACGGCUAACUACGUGCCAGCAGCCGCGGUAAUCUGAGGCGGCUGGCAAGGC
This 223-nucleotide ribosomal RNA is filed under the name uncultured bacterium. RNAcentral's name for it is "partial 16S ribosomal RNA". It matches the Rfam family "Bacterial small subunit ribosomal RNA", at positions 328 to 539 of the family's 1533-position model. The record is from RNAcentral.